This 471-nucleotide ribosomal RNA is filed under the name uncultured bacterium. RNAcentral's name for it is "partial 16S ribosomal RNA". It matches the Rfam family "Bacterial small subunit ribosomal RNA", at positions 28 to 507 of the family's 1533-position model. The record is from RNAcentral.
GACGAACGCUGGCGGCGUGCUUAACACAUGCAAGUCGAACGAUGAAGCCUAGCUUGCUAGGUGGAUUAGUGGCGAACGGGUGAGUAAUACGUGAGUAACCUACCUUUAACUCUGGGAUAAGCCCGGGAAACUGGGUCUAAUACCGGAUACGACCAAUCUCCGCAUGGAGUGUUGGUGGAAAGCGUUAUGUAGUGGUUAUAGAUGGGCUCACGGCCUAUCAGCUUGUUGGUGAGGUAACGGCUCACCAAGGCGACGACGGGUAGCCGGCCUGAGAGGGUGACCGGCCACACUGGGACUGAGACAAGGCCCAGACUACUACGGGAGGCAGCAGUGGGGAAUAUUGCACAAUGGGCGCAAGCCUGAUGCAGCGAAGCCGCGUGAGGGAUGACGGCCUUCGGGUUGUAAACCUCUGUUAGCAGGGAAGAAGAGAGAUUGACGGUACCUGCAGAGAAAGCGCCGGCUAACUACGUG